Molecule: long non-coding RNA, 203 nt
Filed under: Elaeis guineensis (African oil palm)
Lineage: Eukaryota; Viridiplantae; Streptophyta; Magnoliopsida; Arecales; Arecaceae
Description: long non-coding RNA (EGUI_LNC021158)
Source: RNAcentral
CUCUUGAUCAGAUGAAUUUUCUCUCUAGCAUCUUGAACUAACUCUGAACUCAAUAAUUUUUUUCACCAAUGUCAUCUCAAUGCAAAGAAGAUCUACACUUUCUUUCGUAUAAGGCUUCAUAGAGUGCCAUCUUGAUACUAGAAUGAAAACUGUUGUUAUAAGUAAAUUCUAUUAGAGUCACGUGAUCAUCCCACUAUCCUCCA